UGACGGUAUCCAACCAGAAAGCCACGGCUAACUACGUGCCAGCAGCCGCGGUAAUACGUAGGUGGCAAGCGUUGUCCGGAUUUAUUGGGCGUAAAGCGAGCGCAGGCGGUUUCUUAAGUCUGAUGUGAAAGCCUUCGGCUCAACCGAAGAAGUGCAUCGGAAACUGGGAAACUUGAGUGCAGAAGAGGACAGUGGAACUCCAUGUGUAGCGGUGAAAUGCGUAGAUAUAUGGAAGAACACCAGUGGCGAAGGCGGCUGUCUGGUCUGUAACUGACGCUGAGGCUCGAAAGCAUGGGUAGCAAACAGGAUUAGAUACCCUGGUAGUCCAUGCCGUAAACGAUGAGUGCUAGGUGUUGGAGGGUUUCCGCCCUUCAGUGCCGCAGCUAACGCAUUAAGCACUCCGCCUGGGGAGUACGACCGCAAGGUUGAAACUCAAAGGAAUUGACGGGGGCCCGCACAAGCGGUGGAGCAUGUGGUUUAAUUCGAAGCAACGCGAAGAACCUUACCAGGUCUUGACAUCCUUUGACCACUCUAGAGAUAGAGCUUUCCCUUCGGGGACAAAGUGACAGGUGGUGCAUGGG
RNAcentral lists this ribosomal RNA (581 nucleotides) under Latilactobacillus sakei. Its description in RNAcentral is "bacterial SSU rRNA". It matches the Rfam family "Bacterial small subunit ribosomal RNA", at positions 470 to 1049 of the family's 1533-position model. Lineage: Bacteria; Bacillati; Bacillota; Bacilli; Lactobacillales; Lactobacillaceae. The record is from RNAcentral. RNAcentral also lists the same sequence under 1 other name.